ACCUCAAAACUACGCAGAACAAGAAGAAAGACGGAAAAUACAAAGAAGCCGUUAGCCUGUAUGCUAUAGCGAUUCAUCAAAUGUUUGGUUAACGUCAGUACAAGUGUCAGAAACUAUCUUAUGCAGCAAAAGAAAGGGAAGGCUAUAUUAGACAUCUCUUGACAGAGCGCUCUUUCCUCACAGCAUGGAGAAACAGUUGCAUUUAAACCUGCUGGCCUCCAGACCUCCAAUGGCUGGUCCUGGUGGAUUUCAGUCUGGCUCUAAAAUCAAGAUGGGACCUGGCCGGAAGAAAGAUUUUACUCCACUGCUUUGGAGUCAGUACUUUGAAACCAUGGAGGAUGUUGAAGUGGAAAAUGAAAAUGGCAAAGAUAUUUUCAGAAUUUACUGCAGUGGUUCACUUGGUCCUGUGCUGUUGCUGCUCCAUGGAGGAGGCCAUUCUGCACUUUCUUGGGCAGUGUUUACUUCAGUCAUAUCCAACAUGAUUACCUGUAGGGUGGUUGCCAUGGACUUGCGAGCUCAUGGUGACACCAAAGUAAAAAAUCCUGAAGACUUGUCGGCAGAUACCAUGGCAAAGGAUGUCGGUAAAGUGGUGGAGGUGCUCUAUGGCGAGAAUCCACCUCCAAUCCUGAUUAUUGGACACAGUAUGGGCGGGGCCAUCGCGGUCCAUACAGCCACGGCCAAUUAUGUACCAUCACUGCUGGGUCUGUGUGUCAUUGAUGUUGUGGAAGGUACGGCAAUGGAUGCUUUGAACAGUAUGCAGAAUUUCCUCAGAAGUCGGCCAAAGACUUUCAAAUCGCUGGAGAACGCCAUCGAGUGGAGUGUGAAGAGCGGUCAGAUCCGGAACAUCGAGUCAGCACGAGUGUCAAUGGGAGGCCAAGUGAAGAAAUGUGAGGAGUCAUCUAGCAGUCCAAGCCUCUCAAAUAGUGCCGGUGAAGGCAUUAUAGAGGAAGAGGAGGAUGAAGACGUGGAGGAAGAAUCCAGCAAGAAAAAAAUGAGAGAAGAUGACCAGGAGGUGAAAAAGGAGAGUGUCUUUACUUGGCGCGUGGAGCUUUCAAAGACAGAAAAAUAUUGGGAUGGCUGGUUCAGGGGUCUCUCUGCACUCUUUCUCAGCUGCCCUGUGCCAAAACUACUGCUGCUUGCAGGGGUGGACAGGCUUGACAAAGAUCUCACUAUUGGACAAAUGCAAGUUGUGAUCCUGGUCCUCAGGAAAGUUUCAGAUGCAGGUCCUCCCUCAGUGCGGUCAUGCAGUUCAUGAAGAUGCACCUGAAAAAGUAGCGGAUGCUCUGGCAACAUUUAUGGUGCGACACAAAUUUACCGAGUUUAAGGCCGGAUACAUGUGCUAAAUUCCUCUCCAAACAUCCAGCAGAUGGGGGAAACAUGUAUUGAAAUUCAUUGACGUUAUUCUCCAAUUUACCUGCAAAUUAAAAAGUUAUUAUUAUUGUUGAUGUUAAGUUGCUUACAUGCAUAGAUAAUUCUGCCUUUCAGCUUUGCCUUUUUUAUUUAAAUAUAGUGAUUUGAAUAAACUUUAUUUUUUUUGUUUUCUUAUUUCCUGAAGAGUAUUGCUUUUCUUGUUUGAAGGUUUCUUUUCAGGGAUUGCAUCACUGGUAACGUGUUUGUGAUGUUUGAACUGAAUUAAAGAUGGAUGCUGCCAA
Oryzias latipes (Japanese medaka) is the source of this 1652-nucleotide RNA transcript. It is a transcript of the gene named protein phosphatase methylesterase 1, with no coding region annotated. Lineage: Eukaryota; Metazoa; Chordata; Actinopteri; Beloniformes; Adrianichthyidae. The record is from RefSeq and is a predicted model, not a curated record.